UCCGAGUUGACCCCGGCAGUCUCCCAUGAGUCCCCGCCAUUACGCGCUGGCAACAUGGAACGAGGGUUGCGCUCGUUGCGGGACUUAACCCAACAUCUCACGACACGAGCUGACGACAACCAUGCACCACCUGUGAACCGGCCCCAAAGGGGAAGGACUGUUUCCAGCCCGGUCCGGCCCAUGUCAAGCCUUGGUAAGGUGGGGAUGACGUUUAGGAGCUCGAC
Molecule: unclassified non-coding RNA, 224 nt
Filed under: uncultured Micrococcaceae bacterium
Lineage: Bacteria; Bacillati; Actinomycetota; Actinomycetes; Micrococcales; Micrococcaceae
Description: contains 16S-23S intergenic spacer region
Source: RNAcentral